This 496-nucleotide ribosomal RNA is filed under the name uncultured bacterium. RNAcentral describes it as "partial 16S ribosomal RNA". It matches the Rfam family "Bacterial small subunit ribosomal RNA", at positions 28 to 506 of the family's 1533-position model. The record is from RNAcentral.
GAUGAACGCUGGCGGCGUGCCUAAUACAUGCAAGUCGAGCGAACGGACGAGAAGCUUGCUUCUCUGAUGUUAGCGGCGGACGGGUGAGUAACACGUGGAUAACCUACCUAUAAGACUGGGAUAACUUCGGGAAACCGUAGCUAAUACCGGAUAAUAUUUUGAACCGCAUGGUUCAAAAGUGAAAGACGGUCUUGCUGUCACUUAUAGAUGGAUCCGCGCUGCAUUAGCUAGUUGGUAAGGUAACGGCUUACCAAGGCAACGAUGCAUAGCCGACCUGAGAGGGGGAUCGGCCCACCGGGAACUGAGACCCGGCCCAGACCCCUACGGGGGGAAGGGUGAGGGAAUUUUCCGAAAAGGGCGAAAGCCGGCGGGAGCAACGCCGCGGGGGGGAUGAAGGUCUUCGGAUCGUAAAACUCUUUUAUUAGGGAAAAACAUAUGUGUAAGUAACUGUGAAAAUUUUGGCGGUACCAAAAAAAAAAGCCGCGGCUAACUAAGU